AGGAUGAACGCUGGCGGCGUGCCUAACACAUGCAAGUCGAACGUCCUGUCUCGCAAGAGGCAGGGAGUGGCGGACGGGUGAGUACCACGUGGGUCAUCUACCGUGAGGUGAGGAAUACCGGCGAGAAAUCGCCGACAAGACCGCAUAGGCUCGAUGCAAGUCGAGCAAAGCUCUUUCGAGAGAGGGAGCGCCACACGAGGAGCCUGCGCCCGAUUAGCUAGCUGGUGGAGUAACGGUUCACCAGGGCGACGAUCGGUAGCUGGUCUGAGAGGACGAUCAGCCACACUGGGAUUGAGAACGGCCCAGACUCCUACGGGGGCAGCAGUGAGGAAUUUUCGUCAAUGGGGGCAACCCUGAACGAGCAACGCCGCGUGCAGGAAGAAGGUUUUCGGAUCGUAAACUGCUUUUCUCGGGGAAGAGGAACGGACGGUACCCGAGGAAUCGAGCCCCGGCUAACUACGUGCCAGCAGCCGCGGU
This 477-nucleotide ribosomal RNA is filed under the name uncultured bacterium. RNAcentral describes it as "SSU rRNA". It matches the Rfam family "Bacterial small subunit ribosomal RNA", at positions 26 to 521 of the family's 1533-position model. The record is from RNAcentral.